Molecule: ribosomal RNA, 500 nt
Filed under: uncultured bacterium
Lineage: Bacteria
Description: partial 16S ribosomal RNA
Rfam family: Bacterial small subunit ribosomal RNA
Source: RNAcentral
AUUGAACGCUGGCGGAAUGCUUUACACAUGCAAGUCGAACGGCAGCACGGGGGCAACCCUGGCGGCGAGUGGCGAACGGGUGAGUAAUACAUCGGAACGUGCCCAGACGUGGGGGAUAACGUAGCGAAAGUUACGCUAAUACCGCAUACGAUCUACGGAUGAAAGCGGGGGACCGUAAGGCCUCGCGCGAUUGGAGCGGCCGAUGUCAGAUUAGGUAGUUGGUGAGGUAAAGGCUCACCAAGCCGACGAUCUGUAGCUGGUCUGAGAGGACGACCAGCCACACUGGGACUGGGACACGGCCCAGACUCCUACGGGAGGCAGCAGUGGGGAAUUUUGGACAAUGGGCGCAAGCCUGAUCCAGCCAUUCCGCGUGCAGGACGAAGGCCUUCGGGUUGUAAACUGCUUUUGUACGGAACGAAAAGGCUCUGGUUAAUACCUGGGGCUCAUGACGGUACCGUAAGAAUAAGCACCGGCUAACUACGUGCCAGCCGCCGCGGUAA